This 1372-nucleotide ribosomal RNA is filed under the name uncultured bacterium. RNAcentral describes it as "bacterial SSU rRNA". It matches the Rfam family "Bacterial small subunit ribosomal RNA", at positions 28 to 1381 of the family's 1533-position model. The record is from RNAcentral.
GAUGAACGCUGGCGGCGUGCCUAAUACAUGCAAGUCGAGCGAACGGACGAGAAGCUUGCUUCUCUGAUGUUAGCGGCGGACGGGUGAGUAACACGUGGAUAACCUACCUAUAAGACUGGGAUAACUUCGGGAAACCGGAGCUAAUACCGGAUAAUAUUUUGAACCGCAUGGUUCAAAAGUGAAAGACGGUCUUGCUGUCACUUAUAGAUGGAUCCGCGCUGCAUUAGCUAGUUGGUAAGGUAACGGCUUACCAAGGCAACGAUGCAUAGCCGACCUGAGAGGGUGAUCGGCCACACUGGAACUGAGACACGGUCCAGACUCCUACGGGAGGCAGCAGUAGGGAAUCUUCCGCAAUGGGCGAAAGCCUGACGGAGCAACGCCGCGUGAGUGAUGAAGGUCUUCGGAUCGUAAAACUCUGUUAUUAGGGAAGAACAUAUGUGUAAGUAACUGUGCACAUCUUGACGGUACCUAAUCAGAAAGCCACGGCUAACUACGUGCCAGCAGCCGCGGUAAUACGUAGGUGGCAAGCGUUAUCCGGAAUUAUUGGGCGUAAAGCGCGCGUAGGCGGUUUUUUAAGUCUGAUGUGAAAGCCCACGGCUCAACCGUGGAGGGUCAUUGGAAACUGGAAAACUUGAGUGCAGAAGAGGAAAGUGGAAUUCCAUGUGUAGCGGUGAAAUGCGCAGAGAUAUGGAGGAACACCAGUGGCGAAGGCGACUUUCUGGUCUGUAACUGACGCUGAUGUGCGAAAGCGUGGGGAUCAAACAGGAUUAGAUACCCUGGUAGUCCACGCCGUAAACGAUGAGUGCUAAGUGUUAGGGGGUUUCCGCCCCUUAGUGCUGCAGCUAACGCAUUAAGCACUCCGCCUGGGGAGUACGACCGCAAGGUUGAAACUCAAAGGAAUUGACGGGGACCCGCACAAGCGGUGGAGCAUGUGGUUUAAUUCGAAGCAACGCGAAGAACCUUACCAAAUCUUGACAUCCUUUGACAACUCUAGAGAUAGAGCCUUCCCCUUCGGGGGACAAAGUGACAGGUGGUGCAUGGUUGUCGUCAGCUCGUGUCGUGAGAUGUUGGGUUAAGUCCCGCAACGAGCGCAACCCUUAAGCUUAGUUGCCAUCAUUAAGUUGGGCACUCUAAGUUGACUGCCGGUGGCAAACCGGAGGAAGGUGGGGAUGACGUCAAAUCAUCAUGCCCCUUAUGAUUUGGGCUACACACGUGCUACAAUGGACAAUACAAAGGGCAGCGAAACCGCGAGGUCAAGCAAAUCCCAUAAAGUUGUUCUCAGUUCGGAUUGUAGUCUGCAACUCGACUACAUGAAGCUGGAAUCGCUGGUAAUCGUAGAUCAGCAUGCUACGGUGAAUACGUUCCCGGGUCU